UACAGAGACUGCAAGCGUUAUUCGGAUUCACUGGGCGUAAAGGGUGCGCAGGCGGCCAUGUGUGUGAGGCGUGAAAGCCCGGGGCUUAACCCCGGAAUUGCACCUCAAACUACAUGGCUAGAGCAUUGGAGAGGGUAGCGGAAUUCAUGGUGUAGCAGUGAAAUGCGUAGAUAUCAUGAGGAAUACCAGAGGCGAAGGCGGCUACCUGGACAAUUGCUGACGCUCAGGCACGAAAGCGUGGGGAGCAAAAGGG
This 253-nucleotide ribosomal RNA is filed under the name uncultured bacterium. RNAcentral describes it as "partial 16S ribosomal RNA". It matches the Rfam family "Bacterial small subunit ribosomal RNA", at positions 524 to 776 of the family's 1533-position model. The record is from RNAcentral.